Molecule: ribosomal RNA, 848 nt
Filed under: uncultured Acidobacterium sp.
Lineage: Bacteria; Pseudomonadati; Acidobacteriota; Terriglobia; Terriglobales; Acidobacteriaceae
Description: bacterial SSU rRNA
Rfam family: Bacterial small subunit ribosomal RNA
Source: RNAcentral
CUACACAUGCAGUCGCACGAGAAAGGGUAGCAAUACCUGAGUACAGUGGCGCACGGGUGAGUAACACGUGAAUCAUCUACCUCCGAGUGGGGAAUAACUGAGAGAAAUCUUAGCUAAUACCGCAUAACACUUACGAGUCAAAGCAGCAAUGCGCUUGGAGAGGAGUUCGCGGCAGAUUAGUUAGUUGGCGGGGUAAUGGCCCACCAAGACGAUGAUCUGUAUCCGGCCUGAGAGGGCGCACGGACACACUGGAACUGAAACACGGUCCAGACUCCUACGGGAGGCAGCAGUGGGGAAUUUUGCGCAAUGGGGGAAACCCUGACGCAGCAACGCCGCGUGGAGGAUGAAAUAUCUUGGUAUGUAAACUCCUUUCGAUGGGGAAGAUAAUGACGGUACCGGAAGAAGAAGCCCCGGCUAACUUCGUGCCAGCAGCCGCGGUAAUACGAGGGGGGCAAGCGUUGUUCGGAAUUAUUGGGCGUAAAGGGUGCGUAGGUGGUUCGGCAAGUCUUGUGUGAAAUCUUCAGGCUCAACUUGAAGUCUGCACAAGAAACUGCCGGGCUUGAGUAUGGGAGAGGUGAGUGGAAUUUCCGGUGUAGCGGUGAAAUGCGUAGAUAUCGGAAGGAACACCUGUGGCGAAAGCGGCUCACUGGACCAUUACUGACACUGAGGCACGAAAGCUAGGGGAGCAAACAGGAUUAGAUACCCUGGUAGUCCUAGCCCUAAACGAUGAUGGCUUGGUGUGGCGGGUAUCAACCCUGCCGUGCCGAAGCUAACGCGUAAGCGAUCCGCUGGGGAGUACGGUCGCAGCUGAACUCAAGGAUGACGGGGCGACAGCCGGUGGAGCAUGU